Molecule: small nucleolar RNA, 72 nt
Filed under: Microcebus murinus (gray mouse lemur)
Lineage: Eukaryota; Metazoa; Chordata; Mammalia; Primates; Cheirogaleidae
Description: Small nucleolar RNA SNORD5 (ENSMICG00000026404.2)
Rfam family: Small nucleolar RNA SNORD5
Source: Rfam by way of RNAcentral
AUUCAGAUGAUGAAUUUACCUGUUCAACUGCUGAAUGAUACAGACAUGAACCAAAACUUCAUUCUGACAGAA